Molecule: transfer-messenger RNA, 354 nt
Filed under: bacterium
Lineage: Bacteria
Also listed under: 1 other name
Description: G020345765 sp020345765 Standard tmRNA
Rfam family: transfer-messenger RNA
About the family: Bacterial tmRNA, also known as 10Sa RNA or SsrA, is named for its dual tRNA and mRNA-like properties. Its role is to liberate the mRNA from a stalled ribosome. To accomplish this part of the tmRNA is used as a reading frame that ends in a translation stop signal.
Source: RNAcentral
GGGGGCGACCUGGUUUCGACGGGGAUCAUUUUAGCCGGAGCUGCAUGCCGAGGUCCCAUCACCUCGUAAAAAGGUGGAUUAAAAAUAGUCGCCAAUGACUAUGAUUAUGCCCUGGCUGCUUAAUUGACAGCCAGCGUCCACCCGGUUCUUCUCUGCGGGGCCGGAAUGGGCGUCAAAAAAGCAGGGCGGCUUUCCUCGGCGUGCUCGGAACUGAGGAAAGCGGGACUUUUCUGAGCAAAUCCUUAGGAGAUCCCAUCCGCCGGAGAUUCUGAGGAUUAUAAAAGGCGGAUUAAGCAUGUAGACGCUUCGGUGAAAGUUCUUCGGACGCGGGUUCGAUUCCCGCCGCCUCCACCA